GGGCCCGCACAAGCGGUGGAGUAUGUGGUUUAAUUCGAUGCAACGCGAAGAACCUUACCAGGGUUUGACAUCCUGCGAAUCUCUUGGAAACGAGAGAGUGCCUUCGGGAACGCAGUGACAGGUGGUGCAUGGCUGUCGUCAGCUCGUGUCGUGAGAUGUUGGGUUAAGUCCUAUAACGAGCGCAACCCCUGCCGUUAGUUGCCAGCAUGUAAUGAUGGGAACUCUAACGGGACUGCCGGUGCAAACCGCGAGGAAGGUGGGGAUGACGUCAAAUCAUCACGGCCCUUACGUCCUGGGCUACACACGUGCUACAAUGGCCGGUACAGAGGGCAGCCACACCGCAAGGUGGAGCGAAUCCUUAAAACCGGUCUCAGUUCGGAUCGGGGUCUGCAACUCGGCCCCGUGAAGCUGGAAUCGCUAGUAAUCGGAUAUC
RNAcentral lists this ribosomal RNA (433 nucleotides) under uncultured bacterium. RNAcentral's name for it is "bacterial SSU rRNA". It matches the Rfam family "Bacterial small subunit ribosomal RNA", at positions 917 to 1350 of the family's 1533-position model. The record is from RNAcentral.